CCUGUGACAUACCACUUGUUGCCUCGGCGGAUCAGCCCGCUCCCGGUAAAACGGGACGGCCCGCCAGAGGACCCCUAAACUCUGUUUCUAUAUGUAACUUCUGAGUAAAACCAUAAAUAAAUCAAAACUUUCAAAAAUGGAUCUCUUGGGUCUGGCAUCCCUGAACAAAGGAUGAAGGGCAGGCCGAGCCACAUGCUCUGGUUAGCUUAAACAAUCUUCUGCACAUCAGCUGGAGGAAGAAUUCAAAAAGUUCAUUCCACUUUGUCCCCUGCGAUCCAUGCCGAUAAUGAAUGAAUGUAUGUACUUGACUUUUUUUUC
RNAcentral lists this unclassified non-coding RNA (318 nucleotides) under uncultured Fusarium. RNAcentral describes it as "sequence contains 5.8S rRNA gene". The record is from RNAcentral. Lineage: Eukaryota; Fungi; Ascomycota; Sordariomycetes; Hypocreales; Nectriaceae.